Molecule: ribosomal RNA, 497 nt
Filed under: uncultured bacterium
Lineage: Bacteria
Description: partial 16S ribosomal RNA
Rfam family: Bacterial small subunit ribosomal RNA
Source: RNAcentral
GAUGAACGCUGGCGGCGUGCCUAAUACAUGCAAGUCGAGCGAACAGACGAGGAGCUUGCUCCUCUGACGUUAGCGGCGGACGGGUGAGUAACACGUGGAUAACCUACCUAUAAGACUGGGAUAACUUCGGGAAACCGGAGCUAAUACCGGAUAACAUGUUGAACCGCAUGGUUCAACAGUGAAAGACGGUCUUGCUGUCACUUAUAGAUGGAUCCACGCCGCAUUAGCUAGUUGGUAAGGUAACGGCUUACCAAGGCAACGAUGCGUAGCCGACCUGAGAGGGUGAUCGGCCACACUGGAACUGAGACACGGUCCAGACUCCUACGGGAGGCAGCAGUAGGGAAUCUUCCGCAAUGGGCGAAAGCCUGACGGAGCAACGCCGCGUGAGUGAUGAAGGUCUUCGGAUCGUAAAACUCUGUUAUUAGGGGAGAACAAAUGUGUAAGUAACUAUGCACGUCUUGACGGUACCUAAUCAGAAAGCCACGGCUAACUACGUG